Ricinus communis (castor bean) is the source of this 784-nucleotide long non-coding RNA. RefSeq lists it as uncharacterized. The transcript is spliced from 2 exons. NCBI's taxonomy places the organism in Eukaryota, Viridiplantae, Streptophyta, Magnoliopsida, Malpighiales, Euphorbiaceae. The record is from RefSeq and is a predicted model, not a curated record.
AAAAAAAAAAAAAAAAAAGAAUGUUGUAAAGAUACGAGGUCGGUGAUUGUAGGCCGCCGAGGCAAUCAAGAGGCAAUCCAAUUGGCUGAUAAAAGAAAAAGUACUCCCUUUGUUGAUUCAUUUUUUCUCCUUUUUUUCUUUUCUGGGUGGGAAUAAACCCAUUGGUUUCUUUAGAUUCUUUGAAAAUUCAAAAGCAAUGGCCACUAGAAUCCAUGAUAACUAAAUUAUUGAAAUUGACAAUCUAUCCCAGUGAGAGAGGAUCGGUAUCUGGUCCUGAGGCAUCUCCAAUAUGGUACUCAACAAUCAGCAUCUCCCUUAUAUCUGAAUGGAAAUAUAGCAUGACUCUCUGGAUUCCACACAUUUUAUGGUUUAUAUCUAUAUUAUAACAAGCAGCUCAAUUGGCUUUGCUUCGGUUCAUUCUCUGAUUCCAGAUUGCACUUUCAGAAAAGUUUAAUCAAUAUGGUGAUAAAUUCAUAUGCAUAUGAAAUGAUGAUGUUAUGUGCCAUCUUAACCAAAGCAAAAGGCUUUUGUAUGACAGACGCAGCAUUGGCUAACAAAUAUCAAUGAAGAGUUAGAUUGCAAUUUCCAUCUUCGAGCUGCUAUGCUCAUUGUAUCAAAAGAAUGGCUACUCCAGCAUGCCAAACGAAGAACUUUACCAAGGCUUCUAGUCAUCAUUUCCGCCCUACCUAAUACUCUUUUCUAAAGGCUAUAAUAGAAUUCUUGUAAAUCAAGUUGAACUCGACAAUUUCAAAGAUAUCGCAGAUGGUGAGUUUCUUUCUUUAUA